RNAcentral lists this unclassified non-coding RNA (384 nucleotides) under uncultured Tepidisphaerales bacterium. RNAcentral's name for it is "contains 16S-23S intergenic spacer region". Lineage: Bacteria; Pseudomonadati; Planctomycetota; Phycisphaerae; Tepidisphaerales. The record is from RNAcentral.
UCCGGUUUGACACCGGCAGUCCCCUUAGAGUCCCCGGCAUAACCCGCUGGUAACUAAGGGCAAAGGUUUCGCUCGUUAAGGGACUUAACCCGACAUCUCACGACACGAGCUGACGACAGCCAUGCAGCACCUGUACCAGUUGUACCCCGAAGGGCCUACCCCACUUUCAUGGGGAUAAUCCUGGCAUGUCAAGCCCAGGUAAGGUUCUGCGCGUUGCUUCGAAUUGAACCACAUGCUCCACCGCUUGUGUGAGCCCCCGUCAAUUCCUUUGAGUUUUAGCCUUGCGACCGUACUUCCCAGGCGGUCGACUUAGCACUUUUGCUUCGACCGUGACGGCGUCAGAGCCGCCACGAUCUAGUCGACAUCGUUUAGGGCCAGGACUAC